RNAcentral lists this ribosomal RNA (375 nucleotides) under uncultured bacterium. Its description in RNAcentral is "bacterial SSU rRNA". It matches the Rfam family "Bacterial small subunit ribosomal RNA", at positions 9 to 339 of the family's 1533-position model. The record is from RNAcentral.
GAGUUUGAUCUUGGCUCAGGAUGAACGCUGGCGGCAUGCCUAAGACAUGCAAGUCGUACGCGAAGGCCUAAUGAUUACUACGGAAGAUUGGAGAGCUUGCUCAAAGAUUGGAAGUAGUAAGAUUUAGAUCACCUUCGAGUGGCAAACGGGUGAGUAACACGUGGGUUACCUGCCUCUAGGUUGGGGAUAACGGUUGGAAACGAUCGAUAAUACCGAAUAUGCUCUACGGAGUAAAGGAGCCCUUAAAGCUUCGCCAAGAGAUGGGCCUGCGGCGUAUUAGCUAGUUGGUGGGGUAAUGGCCUACCAAGGCAACGAUACGUAGCCGGCCUGAGAGGGCGACCGGCCACAUUGGGACUGAGACACGGCCCAAACUCC